This is a long non-coding RNA of Lagenorhynchus albirostris (white-beaked dolphin), 786 nucleotides long. RefSeq lists it as uncharacterized. The record is from RefSeq and is a predicted model, not a curated record. The transcript is spliced from 3 exons. Lineage: Eukaryota; Metazoa; Chordata; Mammalia; Artiodactyla; Delphinidae.
CCGGGCUGCCCGCGGGGCGCGCUGCUCACCUGCCAGGCCCGACGGCACCACGGCGGCCAGAAGCAGCAGCAGCAGCAGCAGGGCCGGCGGCGAGAGCAGCCCGAGGCUCCCGUCCGGGCUGCGGCGGGACAUCGCUCGGCGGCCGCGAUCUCCGCUCGGCUGGACCAGGCGGCUGUUGGCAGAGCGGUUCUGCUGCCGGUGGUGGGGCGCAGCGAUGCAGAGGUUGGAGCGUCCUUAACUUUCCUCUCUCAUGAGCCCGACCUGUUUGGGGCUUUUAGAGGCGAGGAAGGCUCACGUGGCCUUGACGACAACCUUCGCCCUGCUGGGCCCCAGUCGGGGAAGGGCGGGACCUUUCUGACCCUCUAGCGCCCUGUGGGCAGGGCUGGGACAGUUCCCCUGCUCAACUUCUGGGGCCUGCCGAGGCUACGUGCUGCUUUCCCCUCACUCGUCGGGCGGUUUGGCGGCCCUGGGCUGGAACAAAUCAGUUCAUGUCCACACGGCUAGCCUCUAGGGCCGGCCCCUCGUCUGCAGCAGCUGGGAGGAGACCCCCUGGCCGUGGAGAAAUGCAUACCCCUGCCUACACGCAGUUCCGAUUCUUCGCCAUUCUGGAGAGGUCUUCACUGGUCCUUCUAACUCCAGAGAUUUCAAGCAGACGAGUCAUGCUGGAGUGCCAUUAGAAGGGGCAAGAGAUUGCUGCUGGAUGUGAAAGGGGGUUUGAAGAGUUUGAAGUAAUGUGUCUUUACAGUUCCCCAGGUGAUGCAAUGCCCAGCUGCGGUGAAGAGAAGC